CUCGAAGUAUUGGAACGCUGGCGCAUGCCUUACACAUGCAAGUCGAACGGCAGCACGGGAGCAAUCCUGAUGGCGAGUGGCGAACGGUGAGUAAUAUACUCGGAACGUGCCCAGUCGUGGGGGAUAACGUAGCGAAAGUUACGCUAAUACCGCAUACGAUCUACGGAUGAAAGCGGGGGACUCGCAAGAGCCUCGCGCGAUUGGAGCGGCCGAUAUCAGAUUAGGUAGUUGGUGGGGUAAAGGCUCACCAAGCCAACGAUCUGUAGCUGGUCUGANAGGACGACCAGCCACACUGGAACUGAGACACGGUCCAGACUCCUACGGGAGGCAGCAGUGGGGAAUUUUGGACAAUGGACGCAAGUCUGAUCCAGCCAUUCCGCGUGCAGGAUGAAGGCCCUCGGGUUGUAAACUGCUUUGUACGGAACGAAAAGGUUUCUAUUAAUACUAGGAGCUCAUGACGGUACCGUAAGAAUAAGCACCGGCUAACUACGUG
Molecule: ribosomal RNA, 493 nt
Filed under: uncultured bacterium
Lineage: Bacteria
Description: bacterial SSU rRNA
Rfam family: Bacterial small subunit ribosomal RNA
Source: RNAcentral